GUCUGUCGCUGGCAUGAAAAUGCAAGAGGAAAGUCCGGGCAGCGCAGGGCACUCCACUACCUAAUGUAGUAGUAGUCCGCAAGGGUUAGGUAACGUAGAAGAAAAUAACCGCCGCAGAGGCUUCGGCUUCUCCGGUAAGGGUGAGAAGGUAGGGUAAGAGCCUACCAGGGUGGUGGUGACAUCAUCGCUGUACGUCCUGGAGGCUGCAAGUUCAUGUAAACUGCCGUCUGAGGGUAGCCCGCCCGAGGCAGAGGGUAGAACGCUUGAGCUGCAUGGUGACAUGCAGAGUAGAUAAAUGACAGACAGUCAGUUGCGUGACCGCAAGGUUACUGCUUCCGGCUACAGAACCCGGCUUAUAGAGAC
This 363-nucleotide RNase P RNA is filed under the name uncultured Prevotella sp. RNAcentral's name for it is "Bacterial RNase P class A". It matches the Rfam family "Bacterial RNase P class A". From Rfam's summary of the family: Ribonuclease P (RNase P) is a ubiquitous endoribonuclease, found in archaea, bacteria and eukarya as well as chloroplasts and mitochondria. The record is from RNAcentral. Lineage: Bacteria; Pseudomonadati; Bacteroidota; Bacteroidia; Bacteroidales; Prevotellaceae.